Long non-coding RNA from Sinocyclocheilus grahami, 481 nucleotides. RefSeq lists it as uncharacterized. Lineage: Eukaryota; Metazoa; Chordata; Actinopteri; Cypriniformes; Cyprinidae. The record is from RefSeq and is a predicted model, not a curated record. The transcript is spliced from 2 exons.
UUGGAAACAACAUGAGGCUGAGUAAAUGACAUUUUUAAAGAGGAGAAAAUUUUCCAGUUGAUGGCAGUAUUCUUACAGUAUCAUUAUGUGCAUAUAAAUUACAGCAGAUAGUGAAGGGUUAACUAGAGAGGCUUUGCCCCACCUCCCUCUCCCUCCCAUGUGAAACAGUAUCAUGUUUUGCCUCACUCUUCUCUGCACUUCCAUAAUGGCUGGUCGUCUUUUAGUGAGCUCUGCAGAAAGAAGGAUCAGAUUCGGUUUUCUGAGGCCCAUGACAGUGGCCACAGACGUCAGGAGAGGGACAGUGGGUAAUGCUGCUGCUUCUGUCACUGUCCAGGACAGCCACGGGAAGCUCAAGACUGUGGCUGACCUCCCAGAAAUCAAAACCUUUAGGAUGAUGUACAGACUGAUCUUUAAACAGUACCUGAAUCGCAUGCAUGAGCUGCAGUUAUAUGAAAAACAGCUUUAUGGCCCUUUGUACAAA